UGGUGGCGACGUGCCCUACGCCCCAGAUUCGUCCUCCAAUUCCCAGAGUUUCUUGGAGUUCUAUCCGAAUCCGAAAUCGCCCGGAGUCAUCGAUCUUCCCGGCGACCAAAUCGGAGGAAUCUAGAAGGUAGAGAGAGAGAGAGAGAGAGAGAGGGAGGAAGGGAUAUGGCAGGUGCUGGAAUGCACCCCUACCACCAGCAAUGGGCCCCCGCCACCGCCGCCGCCCCGCCUCCCGCUCCGCCGCCCGCCUCCGCCGCCGCCCCUCCUCCCCCGCCGCACGCUCACCCCUCUCCCAUCGCUUCUCACGACGAGGUCCGGACAAUCUUUAUAACUGGACUCCCCGACGAUGUCAAAGAGAGGGAACUCCAGAAUCUGCUCAGAUGGUUGCCUGGCUACGAGGCGUCGCAAGUGAACUUCAAAGGCGAAAAGCCCAUGGGCUUUGCGCUGUUCUCGACAGCUCAGCUCGCUCUUGCUGCUAAGGACACCCUGCAGGAUAUGGUUUUUGAUGCGGAUACAAAAUCUGUCUUGCACACUGAGAUGGCCAAGAAGAAUCUGUUUGUCAAGAGAGGAAUUGUGGCAGAUUCUGGAGUUUACGAUCAAAGUAAGCGCAUGAGAACUGGUGGUGACUAUACUCAUGCUGGCUAUGCCAGCCCCUCUCCAUUUCAUCCCCCUCCAGCACCUGUUUGGGGACCACAUGGGUAUAUGGCUCCCCCUCCUCCUCCACCUUACGAUCCUUAUGCAGCUUAUCCUGUACCUGCGGUGCCAAUGCCUACUCCUGCUCCUGUUCCAGCACCUACCAACUAUGUGCCUGUACAGAACAUGAAAGACAAUCCUCCAUGCAAUACCUUGUUUAUUGGGAAUCUUGGGGAGAAUGUUAACGAGGAAGAACUCAGGGGUCUUUUCUCUGUGCAACCUGGUUUUAAGCAGAUGAAGAUCCUUAGGCAGGAAAGACAUACGGUUUGCUUUAUUGAGUUUGAAGAUGUCAAUAGCGCCACAAAUGUACAUCAUAGUUUGCAGGGUGCUGUUAUCUCCAGCUCUGGUUCUGUUGGCAUGCGAAUUCAAUACUCAAAGAACCCAUUUGGGAAAAGAAAGGAUGGCGGUCAGCUUGUUGCAGCUUCAGGUGCUAAUGGAGCUCCACAGACGAUGACUUAUCAGUAGCUUGAAGGGGAUGUACUCUGUUUCUCAUGCUCAACAAAAUCGAACUACCUCAUCAUAGGAUGCAUCUUGCAGCUGUUCCAUGCAUCCAUUCACCAUCAAGUCAUGAACAUUGGCAUCUCUCUCUACAUGUGGAUGAGACCACCUAGAUAGUUGUAUCACUAACAUGUCAUCUGGCCAUGUUAUAGUUACUGAAGUCAUGCAUUUGUUAAGCAGGACAAACUUUUGCUUGGAUUAGUUUAUAGAGGCUGACAUAUUUAUCUGUAUGUUUGUCUAGUGCAUCAGUCUGCACAAUAUUUGGUUAAUUUGCUUUAGCACCUCAGUUGCCAUUCAGUUCAUUGACAUAAGCAAUCACAAAGUCCAUCAGUAGAUGACAUGUCAUGCAGAUGUAGUGGGCUAUUGAACGCCUAAACAUAUCAUGGACACAAGGAGAUAACAAUAUUCGGACAUUGGAAAAACAUAUCAUUGCUUUAGCACCUCAGUUGCCAUUCAGUUCAUUGACAUAAGCAAUCACAAAGUCCAUCAGUAGAUGACAUGUCAUGCAGAUGUAGUGGGCUAUUGAAGGCCUAAACAUAUCAUGGACACAAGGAGAUAACGAUAUUCGGACAUUGGAAAAACAUAUCAUUGCUUUAGCAACUCAGUUGCCAUUCAAUUCAUUGACAUAAGCAAUCACAAAGUCCAUCAGUAGAUGACAUGUCAUGCAGAUGUAGUGGGCGAUUGAAGGCCUUAACAUAUCAUGGACACAAGGAGAUAACGAUAUUUGGACAUUGCAAAAACACCCUCCAUCAUCUUCAACUGUCUCAUAACAUUACUCUUGCCAUCAUAACAACAUCGGUCAUAGACAUAUAGCGAAUUCAAUAUCCUUGUGUCCCAAGUGAGGAAGUCAUUACACUGUUUUAGCAGAAUUAUUCAGAGAAUCGAGAUUACAAGUUGCUGUGACUUUGGUACAGGCUUGGUAAUUAACAAAUGAGAAAGCGCCGUACUUCUGAGGAGGUCCAAGCGCUGCAGCUGCUUUUUCUAACAGAUUAUCGAGGGUGCCAGACAAAGGAGUUUCAAAAUCAUCAAAGGGCAAAGGCUCGGUCACAGCGGCAACCACGAUUAAGUCAAAACCCCGAAGCCACCGCACAACCUAGUCAUGUCGAUACGAGAAAUUGUCCUUGAAAGCAUGUUGCUGAUGCUAGCAAGAAAAAAAAUGGGAACGGGACCAGCUACGAGGAAAAGCUCAUAGAAUCAUAGAAUCAAGUGAAGGCCAAACCUGCCGGACCAUCAGAGAUGGUAACCGUAGACUUGCAUUUAUAUAUAUAUAUAUAUUUGGCAUUUGUACACCGGAGUAGACGGUUUCUGGGUUUUCCUAUGUUGUCGAUGAUAAGUUUUGUUUUGGCUCCUUACACUAUGUCAAGGUAUUCGAGCUUUCGUAGGUGUAUGUUUUUUGGCUGAACAAAGAGGAAUUUAAUCGAUAUAAUGGCUUUAUUA
RNA transcript from Eucalyptus grandis, 2628 nucleotides. It is a transcript of the gene named U2 small nuclear ribonucleoprotein B'', with no coding region annotated. The transcript is spliced from 10 exons. NCBI's taxonomy places the organism in Eukaryota, Viridiplantae, Streptophyta, Magnoliopsida, Myrtales, Myrtaceae. The record is from RefSeq and is a predicted model, not a curated record.